Molecule: long non-coding RNA, 477 nt
Filed under: Androctonus crassicauda
Lineage: Eukaryota; Metazoa; Arthropoda; Arachnida; Scorpiones; Buthidae
Source: RNAcentral
UUUGGAUGCAUUUCUGCCAGAGCAACUGCCUUUUCCUUAUAUUCAAAUGAAAUAAAUUCAUAAUCGCAAAAAGACUGCAAUUCCUCUGGGAUGAACUCGGCACUCUCUUUACUUGUAUAUUCAUCCUUACACUAUGAACAAAGAAAUUACAUUGUUACGAUUCUCUUUUAUGCCACGUUCACUGACUUACAAGUUAAUAAAUAAAAAACCAAAAGACACAAUUAUUAGCAAAACAUUUAAAACAUACCUGUUCAUAUUCUUUCCAAUUGUCAACAGUAAUGUCAUCGGUAAGUAUAAGAUCUUCGUCUAUUAUAAUUUUUCGAUCUUCCUGCAUGAACUUGAUCUCCUUAAAAAUUUCUUUGCCCAUAGCAAUGGAAAUGUCAGAUAUAAUUGUAGGUGGUGUGUUUGUUAACAGAUUUUCUGCUUCCAGCAAGCUCUUACAAUAAAUAAGAGCAUUUGUUAAAGCAUUUUUCAUCU